RNAcentral lists this microRNA precursor (74 nucleotides) under Schistosoma mattheei. Its description in RNAcentral is "mir-3492 microRNA precursor family". It matches the Rfam family "mir-3492 microRNA precursor family". The record is from Rfam by way of RNAcentral. Lineage: Eukaryota; Metazoa; Platyhelminthes; Trematoda; Strigeidida; Schistosomatidae.
AGCCUUCUGUAUCCGUCCUGAGAUUUCGUCACACACUAAACCACAAGGGCUGAUGAGACAGUAAUAAUAAUGCA